RNAcentral lists this transfer RNA (70 nucleotides) under Petrobiona massiliana. RNAcentral describes it as "tRNA-Phe". Lineage: Eukaryota; Metazoa; Porifera; Calcarea; Baerida; Petrobionidae. The record is from RNAcentral.
AACGAUUAAGCAUACGGUUUGCUUUAUCCUGAAAAGAUAAAAGCUUUUGGUUCGACUUCAGAAAUCAUUA